RNAcentral lists this ribosomal RNA (253 nucleotides) under uncultured bacterium. Its description in RNAcentral is "partial 16S ribosomal RNA". It matches the Rfam family "Bacterial small subunit ribosomal RNA", at positions 524 to 776 of the family's 1533-position model. The record is from RNAcentral.
GACAGAGGGACCUAGCGUUGUUCGGAAUGACUGGGCGUAAAGGGUGCGUAGGUGGUUGCUUAAGUAGAGUGUUAAAGCCCCAGGCUUAACCUGGGAAUCGCAUUUUAAACUGGGCCACUAGAGUAUGGAAGAGGAAAGCGGAAUUCCUAGUGUAGAGGUGGAAUUCGUAGAUAUUAGGAGGAACACCAGAGGCGAAAGCGGCUUUCUGGUCCAUUACUGACACUGAGGCACGAAAGCGUGGGGAGCAAACAGG